CCUACGGGUGGCAGCAGUGAGGAAUAUUGGUCAAUGGGCGCGAGCCUGAACCAACCAAGUAGCGUGAAGGAUGACUGCCCUACGGGUUGUAAACUUCUUUUAUAAAGUAAUAAAGUGAGGCACAUGUGCCUUUUUGUAUGUACUUUAUGAAUAAGGAUCGGCUAACUCCGUGCCAGCAGCCGCGGUAAUACGGAGGAUCCGAGCGUUAUCCGGAUUUAUUGGGGUUAAAGGGAGCGUAGAUGGGUUGUUAAGUCAGUUGUGAAAGUUUGCGGCUCAACCGUAAAAUUGCAAUUGAUACUGGCAGUCUUGAGUACAGUUGAGGUAGGCGGAAUUCGUGGUGUAGCGGUGAAAUGCGUAGAUAUCACGAAGAACUCCGAUUGCGAAGGCAGCUUACUAAACUGCCACUGACAGUGGUGCUCGAAAGUGUGGGUAGCAAACAGGAUUAGAUACCCCUGUAGUC
RNAcentral lists this ribosomal RNA (460 nucleotides) under uncultured bacterium. Its description in RNAcentral is "partial 16S ribosomal RNA". It matches the Rfam family "Bacterial small subunit ribosomal RNA", at positions 338 to 795 of the family's 1533-position model. The record is from RNAcentral.